CAACACAUCAGAGUCAGAUACUGCAGUGUACUGGUGUGAGUCUGGAUCAGGAGAGUUCAGCAGUGCAGUCAACAUCACUGUACAGAAUGAUGGUAAUGGUCCUAUCCUGGUGAGUCCUGUUCAUCCUGUGACUGAGGGAGCUUCUGUUAGUCUGACCUGCAGUUUGAGAACACAAAAAAUACUUUCCAAUGUGUUUUUCUAUUACAAUGACAAACUUAUUCAAAAUGAUCCCCGAGGGGAGCUGAAGAUCUCUGCAGUGUCAAAGUCUGAUGAAGGUUUCUACAAGUGUCAGUACUCAGGAAGAGAGUCAGCACAGAGCUGGAUGUCAGUUAAAGUAGCUGUGUCCACACCUGAGAGCUCUUCAUUUCCUCUUCUGAUGAUCUUUAGACUAAUUCUUGGAUUCAUGUUUAUUUUCCUUCCACUGUU
This is a non-coding RNA of Maylandia zebra (zebra mbuna), 426 nucleotides long. NCBI's taxonomy places the organism in Eukaryota, Metazoa, Chordata, Actinopteri, Cichliformes, Cichlidae. The record is from RefSeq and is a predicted model, not a curated record.